AUGUUGCGAAAACAAAGGCGGUUUCAGUUCGAGCUUUACUGGCAAUUCGUGCAAGGAUUUCAAGAGGUGGUUAGCGCGGCCUGGAACAGUAUGCCGCCCACCAGAGACCCGAUUUCCGCCUUCAAUACGAAGCUCAGGACGGUUGGGAAGGCCUUAUCUAUAUGGAGCAGAACAAAAGUUGGGAACCUCCAGAUGCAACUACUCGCGGCCCAAGAACUUAUCCUUCGUCUAGACUGUGCACAAGAUGAAAGGGCUCUCACUAUACAUGAGGCAACAAUCCGCUCAGCGCUCAAGUCUAGAUGCUUGGGCCUUGCGGUCCUGCUCAGGAUUAAGCAACGUCAAAGGGUUAAGGUCUCCUGGCUGAAAGACGGUCUCUCUAGCUCAAAGAUGUUCUUUAUCAAAGCCAACUCCCGUGCGAAGCGGAAUACCAUUCACUCCAUGACUGAUCCCCAUGGAGCGCUGCUAAGUGAUCAAGAAGAUAUCCUUAAGGCGGUUGGUGAGCAUUUCUCAGGAGUCCUAGGAACCCCAAGCGAAAUUUCGUCCGCUUUCUGUUGGUACUUCCUUAAUAUCAAUCCGGCAAAUCUCCAAGAGCUUGAUCAAAACUUCACAAUGGAGGAAAUAAAAGAGGCAAUUUGGGACAUGCCAACUGACAAAGCGCCCGGCCUGGAUGGCUUCUCGGGUGCAUUCUAUCGUGCUUGCUGGGAUAUCAUUAAGGAGGAUCUGCUCCUUGUCUUCCAGAGGCUGUUUAAUCUUAAUGCUCGGUCACUGCACAAAAUCAAUGAUGCAUUAAUUGUGCUGAUCCCAAAGAAAAAGGAUCCAGUGGGGAUUGGAGACUACCGCUCAAUCAGUCUAAUACACAGUCUUAUGAAGGUCAUCAUGAAAGUUCUUUCUAGGAGAUUGUCCCCAAGGCUGCCUACGCUCAUUUCUAAAUGCCAAAGCUCGUUCAUCAGCGGGCGCUGCAUACAAGAAAAUUUCAUCUAUGUACAACACCUAGCGCAGCACUCUCACCGAGCACAUGCCCUCGGUAUUGCUCAAACUUGA
Molecule: ribosomal RNA, 1041 nt
Filed under: Triticum aestivum (bread wheat)
Lineage: Eukaryota; Viridiplantae; Streptophyta; Magnoliopsida; Poales; Poaceae
Description: partial small subunit ribosomal RNA
Source: RNAcentral